Molecule: ribosomal RNA, 703 nt
Filed under: uncultured archaeon
Lineage: Archaea
Description: bacterial SSU rRNA
Rfam family: Archaeal small subunit ribosomal RNA
Source: RNAcentral
CCCAUGCUCUACAUUUCUGGUUGAUCCUGCCGGACUGACUGCUAUCGGAUUGGUACUAAGCCAUGCGAGUCAUUGUAGCAAUACAAGGCGGACGGCUCAGUAACACGUAGUCAACCUAACUCGUGGACGUGGAUAACCUCGGGAAACUGAGAAUAAAACACGAUAGAUCAUAGUGCCUGGAAUGGCUUAUGGUCCAAACAGUUUACUGCCAUGGGAUGGGACUGCGGCCUAUCAGCUUGUUGGUGAGGUAAUGGCCCACCAAGGCGAUUACAGGUACGGGCUCUGAGAGGAGAAGCCCGGAGAUGGGUACUGAGACACGGACCCAGGCCCUAUGGGGCGCAGCAGGCGAGAAACCUUAGCAAUGUGCGAAAGCACGACUGGGUCAGUCCGAGUGAUUCCUGAUAAAGGAGUCUUUUGCUUGUCCUAAAAGCACAAGUGAAUAAGGGGUGGGCAAGUCUGGUGUCAGCCGCCGCGGUAAUACCAGCACCUCGAGUGGUCAGGACGUUUAUUGGGCCUAAAGCAUCCGUAGCCGGCUCUGCAAGUCUUCCGGUUAAUCCACCUGCUCAACAGAUGGGCCGCUGGAGAUACUACAGAGCUAGGGAGUGGGAGAGGCAGACGGUAUUCCGUGCGUAGGGGUAAAAUCUCUGAUCCAUUGAGGACCACCAGUGGCGAACGCGGGCUGCCAGAACCCGUUCGACCGGUG